AUGACGUCAAGUCCUCAUGGCCUUUAUGUCCAGGGCUACACACGUGCUACAAUGGGUUGUACAAAGGUUGCGAACUCGCGAGAGUAAGCCAAUCCCAAAAAAGCAACUCUUAGUUCGGAUUGGAGUCUGCAACUCGACUCCAUGAAGCUGGAAUCGCUAGUAAUCGUGGAUCAGCAUGCCACGGUGAAUUACCGGUUCCCGGGCCUU
Molecule: ribosomal RNA, 207 nt
Filed under: uncultured Desulfococcus sp.
Lineage: Bacteria; Pseudomonadati; Thermodesulfobacteriota; Desulfobacteria; Desulfobacterales; Desulfococcaceae
Description: partial 16S ribosomal RNA
Rfam family: Bacterial small subunit ribosomal RNA
Source: RNAcentral